GUGCACUUAGCUCAGUGGUUAGAGUACCCUUCUAGAUUUUGGGGGAAACAGGUCACAGGUUCAAGUCCUGUAGUGCACA
Molecule: transfer RNA, 79 nt
Filed under: Cronartium ribicola 11-2
Lineage: Eukaryota; Fungi; Basidiomycota; Pucciniomycetes; Pucciniales; Coleosporiaceae
Description: tRNA-Ser (AGA) (tRNA-Ser-AGA-14-1)
Rfam family: tRNA
About the family: Transfer RNA (tRNA) molecules are approximately 80 nucleotides in length. Their secondary structure includes four short double-helical elements and three loops (D, anti-codon, and T loops). Further hydrogen bonds mediate the characteristic L-shaped molecular structure. tRNAs have two regions of fundamental functional importance: the anti-codon, which is responsible for specific mRNA codon recognition, and the 3' end, to which the tRNAs corresponding amino acid is attached (by aminoacyl-tRNA synthetases). tRNAs cope with the degeneracy of the genetic code in two manners: having more than one tRNA (with a specific anti-codon) for a particular amino acid; and 'wobble' base-pairing, i.e. permitting non-standard base-pairing at the 3rd anti-codon position.
Source: RNAcentral